Molecule: long non-coding RNA, 805 nt
Organism: Pogonomyrmex barbatus (red harvester ant)
Lineage: Eukaryota; Metazoa; Arthropoda; Insecta; Hymenoptera; Formicidae
Source: RefSeq, a predicted model, not a curated record
CUCGACUCUAGAAACUCGCAACGGGGCUCGUGAAGACAUUUAUCCCAUCUUUACAAUGCAAAACUUUUACGAAGUGUGCGGCUAUUCCGAGUUAUUAUCGGUUUUAACCGGAGUUGUUGCACGCGACAAGUUUAGAAUUCGCGGAUGUUGUUCAGAAAUACGUGAAGUUGUGUAAAAACUCGGGAUGGGAUGAUGACAGCAACCAUCUCGAAAGGGACAGGUUUCGGAAGUGAUAGAUUGCCCAAAAUUAUACACCAUGUCGCUCUUCACCUGGCCUGGAGACACUUGCGGAAAUUCAUCAAGGACACUCGUUAAUCACUUCAUUAGUCAUUACGAACAAUGCGAGAUCAUCGAGAAGGCUAGCGGCCUUCAUUAUAUCGUGAUAAUGACGUCAUUAAUUUUCAGACCGACGAGAACUUUUCCAAAUUGUGUAUGCCAUAUUUGAUAGGAAAACUCAUUCCCACGAUUUUUAAUAAUGAUGAAUUUUUCAAAAAUCGUGUAGAGAAUAAAAUCGAUGUAGAACUUCAAGAAGUAUCCGUGAAUUUCAUUUUAAUUGAGAACUACAUGCGAUGAAACUAUUUCAUUGAGAACCGUGGUUUGUAAUGGCACAGAAGUUUGCACUGUGAUUGUUAACUCAUUAAGCUCUACUGUCUAAAUAUUCAUAUGGUGAGCUGGCAAUCUUCCAGAUCUUAAAAGUCUGUUUAGUAAUAAUAUAUACACAUAACAGUCUCGUGAAGUUCUUCGUGAAGUUCUCGGUUUCUUGAAAUUAGUUUCGCUUUAAAUGUUUCUUUAACUUUAUUCAAAA